RNAcentral lists this small RNA (28 nucleotides) under Bombyx mori (domestic silkworm). RNAcentral's name for it is "piRNA piR-bmo-2087105". The record is from RNAcentral. Lineage: Eukaryota; Metazoa; Arthropoda; Insecta; Lepidoptera; Bombycidae.
UGAAGUCGAUUUCACGCUCCGCCAGCCA